UCCCUUCCAUUGAGCAACUCGCAACAAUACAUGAUCCCCUAUACUAAAUUCCACGUCUUUUCGAUGAAGAUCCGCACAACUCUUUUGUCGAUCUUGUGCCGUUUGUAUACGUUGUCGAAUCAUUUGGAUCUUUUCGGUAGUCAUACGUACUAACUCGGGUCCCAACAAUGUUGUUUCACCCACCUCAUCCCAACAUAUUGGAGAGCGACACUUUCGUCCAUAUAAUGCUUCAAAUGGAGCCAC
This 243-nucleotide long non-coding RNA is filed under the name Panax ginseng (ginseng). Its description in RNAcentral is "long non-coding RNA (PGIN_LNC016543)". Lineage: Eukaryota; Viridiplantae; Streptophyta; Magnoliopsida; Apiales; Araliaceae. The record is from RNAcentral.